GAGCAGCUUUUCUUAUGCAAAGGGAACUUCAAUGGUUUGAGGUGCUGGAAGAUAAGAGUCCUCCUUUGAUAAAAAGUCUAAAAUUUGAGGUAAAAGAAGAUAAGAGCAGUCCUUCUAAAAGUCUGGAAUUGAAAGAAACAAAAGAAAGGAGCGGGAAGACAUACUGGGGAGUUUUUG
This is a long non-coding RNA of Eucalyptus grandis, 177 nucleotides long. RefSeq lists it as uncharacterized. The transcript has 3 exons. NCBI's taxonomy places the organism in Eukaryota, Viridiplantae, Streptophyta, Magnoliopsida, Myrtales, Myrtaceae. The record is from RefSeq and is a predicted model, not a curated record.